Molecule: ribosomal RNA, 810 nt
Filed under: uncultured bacterium
Lineage: Bacteria
Description: bacterial SSU rRNA
Rfam family: Bacterial small subunit ribosomal RNA
Source: RNAcentral
UGCAAGUCGGACGGGAUUUGGGAGCUUGCUCCUAAUGAGAGUGGCGCACGGGUGCGUAACACGUAUGUAACCUACCAUUGUCAGGGGGAUAGCCUCUCGAAAGAGAGAUUAACACCGCAUAACAUUACGAAUUAGCAUUAGUUUGUAAUCAAAUAUUUAUAGGACAAUGAUGGGCAUGCGGGACAUUAGCUAGAUGGUGAGGUAACGGCUCACCAUGGCGACGAUGUCUAGGGGAUCUGAGAGGAUGACCCCCCACACUGGUACUGAGACACGGACCAGACUCCUACGGGAGGCAGCAGUAAGGAAUAUUGGUCAAUGGAGGCAACUCUGAACCAGCCAUGCCGCGUGCAGGAAGACGGCCCUACGGGUUGUAAACUGCUUUUGUACCGGAAUAAACCCAGAUACGAGUAUUUGGCUGAAUGUACGGUAAGAAUAAGGAUCGGCUAACUCCGUGCCAGCAGCCGCGGUAAUACGGAGGAUCCAAGCGUUAUCCGGAUUUAUUGGGUUUAAAGGGUGCGUAGGCGGCUUAUUAAGUCAGGGGUGAAAGGCGGUAGCUUAACUAUCGGAGUGCCCUUGAUACUGAUGAGCUUGAAUGCAGCUGAGGUAGGCGGAAUGUGACAAGUAGCGGUGAAAUGCAUAGAUAUGUCACAGAACACCGAUUGCGAAGGCAGCUUACUAAAGUGCGAUUGACGCUGAGGCACGAAAGCGUGGGGAUCAAACAGGAUUAGAUACCCUGGUAGUCCACGCCCUAAACGAUGARUACUCGAUGUUGGCGAUAUACGGUCAGCGUCUAAGCGAAAGCGUUAAGUA